Molecule: unclassified non-coding RNA, 478 nt
Filed under: Hevea brasiliensis (rubber tree)
Lineage: Eukaryota; Viridiplantae; Streptophyta; Magnoliopsida; Malpighiales; Euphorbiaceae
Source: RNAcentral
AGAGAGAGAGAGAGAGAUCAUUAUGACACAAAUUAAUUCAGUGUGGUUGAAGGCAGUGGUCUCACUUUGAAUUAUAAAAAUAAAGGUGGCAAUUUCAGAAGAAGACUUAAUCAAGCAGAAUUGACUAAAACAAUUGGCAGGUAUUCACUGCAAUUAAGCUUUUCCACUUAGAUUGCAUUGACAAGUAAGCAGCAAAACAAAUGUAAUAGGGAAGGGGAUUGAACACAUUUAACACACAUUACUCGUAGACAAUUAUUCAUUACUCACAACUUCAUGACUGCUAUACAUUCCAUCAUCAUCAUUCGCAUCAUAAGUUUAAGUGAAAAAAAUUCAUGUCUUGAUGAUUCUCAUAUUUCAAAAGUUCCAAUUCCAAUUAAAUAAUGACAAACUUUAAUUUAUUAAAAGCAUACUGAUGUAGGACCACAAAGAACAAUCAAAAGGGAAGAUAAACAAUUCUCAAAUUUUCUAUUAAUUCUCA